RNAcentral lists this transfer RNA (90 nucleotides) under Thomasclavelia ramosa. Its description in RNAcentral is "Erysipelatoclostridium ramosum tRNA-Ser". It matches the Rfam family "tRNA". From Rfam's summary of the family: Transfer RNA (tRNA) molecules are approximately 80 nucleotides in length. Their secondary structure includes four short double-helical elements and three loops (D, anti-codon, and T loops). The record is from RNAcentral. RNAcentral also lists the same sequence under 4 other names. Lineage: Bacteria; Bacillati; Bacillota; Erysipelotrichia; Erysipelotrichales; Coprobacillaceae.
GUCGAUAUACUCAAGUGGCUUAAGAGGGCUGUUUGCUAAACAGUUAGAUGGAAGAUCCAUGCGUAAGUUCGAAUCUUACUAUCGACGCCA